Molecule: ribosomal RNA, 510 nt
Filed under: Chryseobacterium oncorhynchi
Lineage: Bacteria; Pseudomonadati; Bacteroidota; Flavobacteriia; Flavobacteriales; Weeksellaceae
Description: bacterial SSU rRNA
Rfam family: Bacterial small subunit ribosomal RNA
Source: RNAcentral
GCUGAGCGGUAGAGAUUCUUCGGAAUCUUGAGAGCGGCGCACGGGUGCGGAACACGUGUGCAACCUGCCUUUAUCUGGGGGAUAGCCUUUCGAAAGGAAGAUUAAUACCCCAUAAUAUAUUGACUGGCAUCAGUUGAUAUUGAAAACUCCGGUGGAUAGAGAUGGGCACGCGCAGGAUUAGAUAGUUGGUGAGGUAACGGCUCACCAAGUCAACGAUCCUUAGGGGGCCUGAGAGGGUGAUCCCCCACACUGGUACUGAGACACGGACCAGACUCCUACGGGAGGCAGCAGUGAGGAAUAUUGGACAAUGGGUGAGAGCCUGAUCCAGCCAUCCCGCGUGAAGGACGACGGCCCUAUGGGUUGUAAACUUCUUUUGUAUAGGGAUAAACCUACCCUCGUGAGGGUAGCUGAAGGUACUAUACGAAUAAGCACCGGCUAACUCCGUGCCAGCAGCCGCUGUAAUACGGAGGGUGCAAGCGUUAUCCGGAUUUAUUGGGUUUAAAGGGUCCG